RNA transcript from Bubalus bubalis (water buffalo), 3056 nucleotides. It is a transcript of the gene named NADH:ubiquinone oxidoreductase complex assembly factor 7, with no coding region annotated. The record is from RefSeq and is a predicted model, not a curated record. The transcript has 11 exons. NCBI's taxonomy places the organism in Eukaryota, Metazoa, Chordata, Mammalia, Artiodactyla, Bovidae.
CGUACUUCCUGUAAGGGGCGUGGCCCUCACAGGAAACAGGCGCAAUCCCCAUUUCCGGGCGAAGCUUUAGCGCAGGCGAAGUUAAGCAUGAACUUCUUGGCGGCAGCCGGCGCUAGGCGGCUGUGCGCAGUGCGCGCAGUCCUUCCUUGCCUUUGGAGAGGAAAGUACUUAAGCUCUGGGAAUGAGCCUGCAGAAAACAAUUCUGUGACCCCCAUGCUGAGGCAUCUUAUAUACAAAAUCAAGUCUACUGGUCCCAUCACUGUGGCCGAGUACAUGAAGGAGGUCUUGACGAACCCAGCCAAGGGCUAUUAUAUGAACCGUGACAUGCUAGGAGAAGAAGGAGAUUUCAUUACUUCACCUGAAAUAAGUCAGAUGUUUGGGGAGCUCCUAGGGAUAUGGUUCAUCAGUGAAUGGAUAGCUGCUGGAAAAAAUGCAGCUUUCCAACUGGUGGAACUAGGCCCAGGCAAGGGAACCCUCUUGGGAGAUAUUUUGAGGGUAUUUAGUCAGCUUGGGUCUUUGCUGAAAAACUGUGACAUUUCACUACAUCUGGUAGAGGUGAGCCAGAAAUUAAGUGAGAUUCAAGCAUUAACGUUGACUGAAGAGAAGGUCCCAUUAGAGCAAAAUGCUGAAUCCCCAGUAUAUAUGAAAGGUGUCACUAAAUCUGGAAUUCCAGUUUCCUGGUACCGAGAUCUUCAAGAUGUUCCAAAAGAGUACAGCUUUUAUCUCGCACAUGAAUUUUUCGAUGUUCUUCCUGUGCAUAAGUUUCAGAAAACACCACACGGAUGGCGAGAAGUACUUGUUGAUAUUGACCCACAGGUUUCUGAUAAACUGAGAUUUGUUUUGGCGCCAUGUGCCACCCCAGCAGAAGCGUUCAUACAAAAUGAUGAAACAAGGGAUCAUGUGGAAGUGUGUCCUGAGGCUGGUGUUGUUAUUCAGGAACUUUCUCAACGCAUUUCACUAACUGGAGGUGCUGCCCUGAUCGCGGAUUAUGGUCAUGACGGGACUAAGACAGACACCUUCCGAGGGUUUUGUGGCCACAGGCUUCAUGAUGUCCUAACUGCCCCGGGAACAGCAGACCUAACAGCUGACGUGGACUUCAGUUACUUGCGUAGAAUGUCCCAGGGGAAAGUAGCUUCCCUGGGUCCAAUAGAACAGCAAACUUUUUUAAGAAAUAUGGGCAUUGACGUCCGGCUGAAGAUUCUUUUAGAUAAAACAGAUGACCCAUCAUUGAGGCAGCAGUUACUUCAGGGGUAUAAUAUGUUAAUGAAUCCUAUGAAGAUGGGAGAAAGAUUCAACUUUCUUGCCUUGGUACCUCAUCAGAGACUUCAUGGUAGAAAUCAUCAGACGAAUGCACGUCAGUCAAAACCCUCUCCAUCACCUGUAGCUGGGUUUGGUGAACUUGCUUGGCAGUGAUAUUUCAGUUUGGACUUUUCACCCCCAAGUUGGCCUAAGAAACCAGACUAAAGGGAACAUAUUUUAUAUAUCACAGAUGACAGCAUACAAAGAACAACAGUUACGCAGCAAAAUACCAGUCCAUGACAUGACAUGCUUCCUUACUGAAGUUAGCUCAUUGGUAACUAAGGAUCUUCUUCCAUGUCAUCUGGAUUGGGAGCCAUAAUGAAGUGCUUUGGGUAUACAAGGUUGUGUGUGUAUGCAUGUAUUUCCCAGCGGGCAUCGUCACUUUCGUGUGUAAUGUAACGUUCACCAAUGCGAGUUUCAAAUUCUCUAAGGUCAAGCCAAGUCUGAUAGUCCUAGGGGAAAAAAAAUGAAGAUUAUGAACAGUAAAAGAAACAAAAUACUGUUAACUUGUUUUUUUGCUUAGCACCCUAGUUAUGUAAUUGACAACCCCUACCCCCUGCUGCUGCUGCUAAGUUGCUUCAGUCGUGUCUUGUUCUGUGCGACCCCAUAGACGGCAGCCCACCAGGCUCCCAUGUCCCUGGGAUUCUCUAGGCAAGAAUACUGGAAUGGGCUGCCAUUUCAAAUACUAGCUAUACAAUAAGUUCCAUUUGUAAUACUUUAGGUUAGCAAUGUUAUAGAUACUUUUUCAGAUUUAGUCUCUCUCAUGAAGGAAGUAACUCUUCUAAAAUUAAAAAAAAAAAAAAAAAAAAAUACUGCCUCAGCCCUCUGAGGUGGUUAAUAAUAACUAUUAAUCUGAUUACACCUUACUCCUCAAAACAGGGGAAACGUGCUUAGACUCUGUUGUCAGGAUAAUUUAAUAGUUGCUGAGAUUAAUUAUGACUACAUCUGUUCUAAAGUUACUUAUAUCCCUCAUUCCCUUUACAGUAAUUGUUCUAAAGCUUCUCUCUAGUCUGAAGUUUGGGGGUAUCUUUUGAUAAAUCUAUGCAAUGGCUUUUAGGGGAAUUAAACCAAACAUUUAAAAUGGCAUAUCUGAUCUUUUCAAUAUAAAAUAUAAACCUUUUGGUGGACAUUUUAAAAAUAAAAUAUAUUUGACAAUAUAAUGUGUUAUGCUCACCUUACAAAAAGGUGAAAUAAACACCAUAAGGCCCUAAGACAUGUAGAAUCUGAUGAUCUUUUAAGAGUGGUUUCAUUAAAUAAAACAAAUCACCACUAACUGCUCAAAUGAGGAUUGCUAAAGAGAAAUACAUUGUUUUUACCUGCAGCCAGGGAUGACUAAGAGAUUUGUCUACGCUGUAACGUUUUCUCAUCUUCACUUGAAGUAGGUUGUUUAUCAAAUCAAUUGCUAAGGGAAAAGACAAAAUAAGCUAUGUGAAUCUGAGCACUGACCACCCCAAACCUGUGACUCUGCCUGGAAGGCAGUUCAAUCCACAGAAAUAUACGGUUCAAGAUAUUUGCUUCUCGAGGACAUAGCCUUUAAGCUAACAUAUUAGUGACUGAUAAAUAUUUAUUGAAUUCAGUAUACCUGGUUUAUUAAGGAGAUAGUACAGAAUACAAGUUUAAAGUGUAGACUGGAGCCCGCCCGCUUGAGCCCAAGUUGUGACUGUGUGACAUGGGGUCAGUUAACUGCACUGUGCCUGUUUGCUCAUCUGUAAAAUAAGGUUGUUGAGAAGAUGAAAUAAACUUAAUACACACAAAGG